GACAGAGGGUGCAAGCGUUGUUCGGAAUUACUGGGCGUAAAGCGCGUGUAGGCGGCUCGGCAAGUCGGGCGUGAAAGCCCUGGGCUUAACCUAGGAAGUGCACUCGAAACUGCCAAGCUUGAGUUCUGGAGAGGAAGGCGGAAUUCUCGGUGUAGAGGUGAAAUUCGUAGAUAUCGAGAGGAACACCGGUGGCGAAGGCGGCCUUCUGGACAGCAACUGACGCUGAGACGCGAAAGCGUGGGGAGCAAACAGG
RNAcentral lists this ribosomal RNA (253 nucleotides) under uncultured bacterium. RNAcentral's name for it is "partial 16S ribosomal RNA". It matches the Rfam family "Bacterial small subunit ribosomal RNA", at positions 524 to 776 of the family's 1533-position model. The record is from RNAcentral.